CAACCAUCAAGCCCCCGGGCUUGUGUUGGGGACCUGCGGCUGCCGCAGGCCCCGAAAAACAGUGGCGGGCUCGCUGUCACCCCGAGCGUAGUAGUUUACACCUCGCCCAGGGCGUGCCGCGGGUUCCCGGCCGUUAAACCCCCCAUACCACAA
Molecule: unclassified non-coding RNA, 153 nt
Filed under: uncultured Staphylotrichum
Lineage: Eukaryota; Fungi; Ascomycota
Description: sequence contains ITS2
Source: RNAcentral